Molecule: ribosomal RNA, 484 nt
Filed under: uncultured bacterium
Lineage: Bacteria
Description: partial 16S ribosomal RNA
Rfam family: Bacterial small subunit ribosomal RNA
Source: RNAcentral
GAUUAACGCUAGCGGCAGGCAUAAUACAUGCAAGUUGAACGGCAGCACAGGUAGCAAUACUGGGUGGCGAGUGGCGCACGGGUGCGUAACACGUAUGCAACCUACCCUAUACAGGCGAAUAACCUUUAGAAAUGAGGGCUAAUACGCCGUAGUAUUACAGAUGGGCAUCUAUUUGUAAUUAAAGAUUUAUCGGUAUAGGAUGGGCAUGCGUCCCAUUAGUUAGUUGGUAAGGUAACGGCUUACCAAGACGAUGAUGGGUAGGGGAUCUGAGAGGACUUACCCCCACACUGGUACUGAGACACGGACCAGACUCCUACGGGAGGCAGCAGUACGGAAUAUUGGGCAAUGGCCGCGAGGCUGACCCAGCCAUGCCGCGUGCAGGAAGACGGCCUUAUGGGUUGUAAACUGCUUUUAUACGGGAAUAAUAGAGUGUACGCGUACAUUUAUGCAAGUAUCGUAUGAAUAAGCAUCGGCUAACUCCGUG